GACGAACGCUGGCGGCGUGCUUAACACAUGCCAGUCGAACGGAAAGGCCCUGCUUUUGUGGGGUGCUCGAGUGGCGAACGGGUGAGUAACACGUGAGUAACCUGCCCUUGACUUUGGGAUAACUUCAGGGAACUGGGGCUAAUACCGGAUAGGAGCUCCUGCUGCAUGGUGGGGGUUGGAAAGUUUCGGCGGUUGGGGAUGGACUCGCGGCUUAUCAGCUUGUUGGUGGGGUAGUGGCUUACCAAGGCUUUGACGGGUAGCCGGCCUGAGAGGGUGACCGGCCACAUUGGGACUGAGGUACGGCCCAGGCUCCUACGGGAGGCAGCAGGGGGGAAUAUUGCACAAUGGGCGGAAGGCUGAUGCAGCAACGCCGCGUGCGGGAUGACGGCCUUCGGGGUGUAAACCGCUUUCGCCUGUGACGAAGCGUGAGUGACGGGAAUGGGUAAAGAAGCACCGGCUAACUACGUG
RNAcentral lists this ribosomal RNA (468 nucleotides) under uncultured bacterium. RNAcentral's name for it is "partial 16S ribosomal RNA". It matches the Rfam family "Bacterial small subunit ribosomal RNA", at positions 28 to 507 of the family's 1533-position model. The record is from RNAcentral.